RNAcentral lists this non-coding RNA (31 nucleotides) under Homo sapiens (human). Lineage: Eukaryota; Metazoa; Chordata; Mammalia; Primates; Hominidae. The record is from RNAcentral.
AAAGAAGUGAGUCACACCCCUGUUGCACGCC